AUUGGGCGUAAAGCGAGCGCAGGCGGUUAGAUAAGUCUGAAGUUAAAGGCUGUGGCUUAACCAUAGUACGCUUUGGAAACUGUUUAACUUGAGUGCAAGAGGGGAGAGUGGAAUUCCAUGUGUAGCGGUGAAAUGCGUAGAUAUAUGGAGGAACACCGGUGGCGAAAGCGGCUCUCUGGCUUGUAACUGACGCUGAGGCUCGAAAGCGUGGGGAGCAAACAGGAUUAGAUACCCUGGUAGUCCACGCCGUAAACGAUGAGUGCUAGGUGUUAGACCCUUUCCGGGGUUUAGUGCCGCAGCUAACGCAUUAAGCACUCCGCCUGGGGAGUACGACCGCAAGGUUGAAACUCAAAGGAAUUGACGGGGGCCCGCACAAGCGGUGGAGCAUGUGGUUUAAUUCGAUGCAACGCGAAGAACCUUACCUACUCUUGACAUCCAGAGAACUUUCCAGAGAUGGAUUGGUGCCUUCGGGAACUCUGAGACAGGUGCUGCAUGGCUGUCGUCAGCUCGUGUCGUGA
This 518-nucleotide ribosomal RNA is filed under the name uncultured bacterium. RNAcentral describes it as "bacterial SSU rRNA". It matches the Rfam family "Bacterial small subunit ribosomal RNA", at positions 553 to 1070 of the family's 1533-position model. The record is from RNAcentral.